CUUCAAAACCUUCGCUUUUAAGUUUUAGAGGACAAAAUUCGGUAUUUUCGUGAAGCAGAGAAACCCUCGAAACGCAAGUAAAAAAGAAAGACCUUAGAUUCCAGCGGCAUGCAACACCAUCAGAGUUCGUCCGAGGCCGACCACUCCGCACCGACUUCGCCGGUUGUGGCGGCCGCCGCUGCAGCACAUACGAUUCAACCAUCUUCCCCGCGCCUCUUUUUCUCCUCUUUGGCAGCGGGGAACACCACGGCCAGCUCUCACCGUCGGAUUGCGAUAGCCGUAGAUCUGAGCGACGAAAGCGCCUACGCCGUGAAGUGGGCUGUUCAGAACUACCUUCGACCUGGUGAUGCCGUCAUCCUGCUUCAUGUUCGCCCCACUUCGGUUCUCUAUGGCGCUGACUGGGGAUCGAUAGACCUCUCCGUUUCGGAGGCUGCUGCUGCGGCUGAAGAGGUUGACGCCGAGCAGUCGCAGCAGAAACUUGAGGAAGAUUUCGACGCCUUCACUGCCACCAAGGCACAUGACCUUGCCCAGCCGCUUGUAGAGUCUCAUAUUCCCUUCAAGAUCCACAUUGUAAAGGAUCAUGACAUGAAGGAGAGGCUCUGCCUCGAGGUAGAGAGGCUUGGACUCAGUGCUGUGAUUAUGGGUAGCAGGGGAUUUGGGGCGUCUAAGAGAAGCGGCAAAGGGAGGCUAGGUAGUGUCAGCGAUUACUGUGUUCAUCACUGUGUUUGUCCUGUGGUGGUGGUGCGGUACCCUGACGAAGCUGCAGGAGGUCUCACUGAGGAUGGGAUCGCUUCCAAUGCUGCAUCUUCUACUGCAAUUAACAAGGAGGCGGAGCUUCACCCCGUGCCAGAGGAGGAGGAAUUUCAUGAUGCCUCCGAUGCACAGAAAGAUGAACGUGGGAAAAGGGGCCGCAUGUUCCUACUAUUUUGAUCACCGUUUCAUGUAAACUUUCCUGAUUUGGAAAAGCUAAAUUGGAUUCUUGAAAGCAUGCAGCUAUGGGUUGUCGUCCUGAAUCCAGUUCAUUCAGUGCUCCCUAUAAUGCUGCCGGAUGAUACUGGACCACUUCUCCUCUUUACGAAAAAUCAAGAAAACUGUUUAGUUGUUUUCUUUCUUUAAGGUUUCCUGGAGUAUGUUUGGUCACAAGAAGGCUAUAUCCUAAGCCUUAUUAUCCUGUGAGAGAUUUAUAAUGUUGAGACAUUUGUGUCCUGCUUUUUAGGAUGCUUGUGGUUGUGGCUUCAGUUUGUAUUCUAAAGACUUAUUUGUUCUGUAUGAGUUUUAGAUAUUUUGCCAUCACAGUCGCUUCUACUCGAUUGUUUCAGUGGCAAAGAAGAGCCGUUAAGAUUUUAUAACUGUUCAUUUCAUGGUUGCAGCAUGAUGGGGAAUCUAUAUGUAUACAUUAGUUGGGUAUGAAUUUUGAUUCUCUUUUAUCUGACU
Molecule: RNA transcript, 1434 nt
Organism: Dendrobium catenatum
Lineage: Eukaryota; Viridiplantae; Streptophyta; Magnoliopsida; Asparagales; Orchidaceae
Gene name: universal stress protein PHOS32
Exons: 4
Source: RefSeq, a predicted model, not a curated record